Non-coding RNA from Podarcis lilfordi (Lilford's wall lizard), 73 nucleotides. NCBI's taxonomy places the organism in Eukaryota, Metazoa, Chordata, Lepidosauria, Squamata, Lacertidae. The record is from the annotation of a GenBank genome assembly.
GUCUAGCUCAGUUGGCAGAGCACGAGACUCUUAAAGAAUCUCAGGGUCAUGGGUUUGAGCCCCACAUGGGGCA